This 1057-nucleotide ribosomal RNA is filed under the name Vibrio parahaemolyticus. RNAcentral describes it as "partial 23S ribosomal RNA". It matches the Rfam family "Bacterial large subunit ribosomal RNA", at positions 632 to 1694 of the family's 2925-position model. The record is from RNAcentral. Lineage: Bacteria; Pseudomonadati; Pseudomonadota; Gammaproteobacteria; Vibrionales; Vibrionaceae.
AUUCAGUGGCAAGGUUAACCAUCUAGGGGAGCCGUAGGGAAACCGAGUCUUAACUGGGCGUUCAGUCUCUGGAUAUAGACCCGAAACCAGGUGAUCUAGCCAUGGGCAGGUUGAAGGUUGAGUAACAUCAACUGGAGGACCGAACCGACUAAUGUUGAAAAAUUAGCGGAUGACUUGUGGCUAGGGGUGAAAGGCCAAUCAAACCUGGAGAUAGCUGGUUCUCCCCGAAAGCUAUUUAGGUAGCGCCUCGGACGAAUACUACUGGGGGUAGAGCACUGUUAAGGCUAGGGGGUCAUCCCGACUUACCAACCCUUUGCAAACUCCGAAUACCAGUAAGUACUAUCCGGGAGACACACGGCGGGUGCUAACGUCCGUCGUGGAGAGGGAAACAACCCAGACCGCCAGCUAAGGUCCCAAAUUACUACUAAGUGGGAAACGAUGUGGGAAGGCUCAGACAGCCAGGAUGUUGGCUUAGAAGCAGCCAUCAUUUAAAGAAAGCGUAAUAGCUCACUGGUCGAGUCGGCCUGCGCGGAAGAUGUAACGGGGCUAAGUAGUAAACCGAAGCUGCGGCAAUACUCUUUGAGUAUUGGGUAGGGGAGCGUUCUGUAAGCGGUUGAAGGUGUGUGGUAACGCAUGCUGGACGUAUCAGAAGUGCGAAUGCUGACAUGAGUAACGAUAAAGGGGGUGAAAAACCUCCUCGCCGGAAGACCAAGGGUUCCUGUCCAACGUUAAUCGGGGCAGGGUAAGUCGACCCCUAAGGCGAGGCCGAAAGGCGUAGUCGAUGGGAAACGGGUUAAUAUUCCCGUACUUCUUACAAUUGCGAUGGGGGGACGGAGAAGGCUAGGUGGGCCUGGCGACGGUUGUCCAGGUUCAAGUGCGUAGGCUUAAGAGUUAGGUAAAUCCGGCUCUUUUUAAGGCUGAGACACGACGUCGAGCACCUACGGGUGUGAAGUCAUUGAUGCCAUGCUUCCAGGAAAAGCCUCUAAGCUUCAGAUUGUAAGGAAUCGUACCCCAAACCGACACAGGUGGUCGGGUAGAGAAUACCAAGGCGCUUGAG